Molecule: ribosomal RNA, 253 nt
Filed under: uncultured bacterium
Lineage: Bacteria
Description: partial 16S ribosomal RNA
Rfam family: Bacterial small subunit ribosomal RNA
Source: RNAcentral
UACGUAGGGGGCUAGCGUUGUCCGGAAUCAUUGGGCGUAAAGAGCGCGUAGGCGGCCAGAUAAGUCUGGUGUGAAAGUCACAGGCUCAACCUGUGAAUGCCGCUGGAAACUGUUUGGCUAGAGUCCGGAAGGGGCGAGUGGAAUUCCUGGUGUAGCGGUGAAAUGCGCAGAUAUCAGGAGGAACACCGGUGGCGAAGGCGGGUCUCUGGGCCGAUACUGACGCUGAGGAGCGAAAGCGUGGGGAGCGAACAGG